GAUGAACGCUAGCGGCAGGCUUAACACAUGCAAGUCGAGGGGCAGCAUGACACGGAGAUUCGUCAAAGUGUUGAUGGCGACCGGCGCAAGGGUGCGUAACGCGUGAGCAACUUGCCCGUUUCUGGGGGAUAACCGGUGGAAACGCCGACUAAUACCCCAUAGUAUUGGAUUUAGGCAUCUUUAUCCAAUUAAAGAAUUUCGGAAACGGAUAGGCUCGCGUGACAUUAGCUAGAUGGCGGGGUAACGGCCCACCAUGGCUACGAUGUCUAGGGGUUCUGAGAGGAAGGUCCCCCCACACUGGAACUGAGACACGGUCCAGACUCCUACGGGAGGCAGCAGUGAGGAAUAUUGGUCAAUGGUCGGAAGACUGAACCAGCCAUGCCGCGUGAAGGUCACGGCCCUAUGGGUCUUAAACUUCUUUUGCGAGGGAGCAAUAAGGUCUACGCGUAGGCCGAUGAGAGUACCUCGCGAAUAAGCAUCGGCUAACUCCGUGCCAGCAGCCCG
RNAcentral lists this ribosomal RNA (504 nucleotides) under uncultured bacterium. RNAcentral describes it as "bacterial SSU rRNA". It matches the Rfam family "Bacterial small subunit ribosomal RNA", at positions 28 to 517 of the family's 1533-position model. The record is from RNAcentral.